RNAcentral lists this ribosomal RNA (718 nucleotides) under uncultured bacterium. RNAcentral describes it as "bacterial SSU rRNA". It matches the Rfam family "Bacterial small subunit ribosomal RNA", at positions 9 to 694 of the family's 1533-position model. The record is from RNAcentral.
GAGUUUGAUCCUGGCUCAGGACGAACGCUGGCGGCGUGCCUAAUACAUGCAAGUCGAGCGAGCGGAACCAACAGAUUUACUUCGGUAAUGACGUUGGGAAAGCGAGCGGCGGAUGGGUGAGUAACACGUGGGGAACCUGCCCCUAAGUCUGGGAUACCAUUUGGAAACAGGUGCUAAUACCGGAUAAUAAAGCAGAUCGCAUGAUCAGCUUUUGAAAGGCGGCGUAAGCUGUCGCUAAGGGAUGGCCCCGCGGUGCAUUAGCUAGUUGGUAAGGUAACGGCUUACCAAGGCGACGAUGCAUAGCCGAGUUGAGAGACUGAUCGGCCACAUUGGGACUGAGACACGGCCCAAACUCCUACGGGAGGCAGCAGUAGGGAAUCUUCCACAAUGGACGCAAGUCUGAUGGAGCAACGCCGCGUGAGUGAAGAAGGUUUUCGGAUCGUAAAGCUCUGUUGUUGGUGAAGAAGGAUAGAGGUAGUAACUGGCCUUUAUUUGACGGUAAUCAACCAGAAAGUCACGGCUAACUACGUGCCAGCAGCCGCGGUAAUACGUAGGUGGCAAGCGUUGUCCGGAUUUAUUGGGCGUAAAGCGAGCGCAGGCGGAAAAAUAAGUCUAAUGUGAAAGCCCUCGGCUUAACCGAGGAACUGCAUCGGAAACUGUUUUUCUUGAGUGCAGAAGAGGAGAGUGGAACUCCAUGUGUAGCGGUGAAAUGCGUAGA